Formica exsecta is the source of this 354-nucleotide long non-coding RNA. RefSeq lists it as uncharacterized. The transcript is spliced from 2 exons. NCBI's taxonomy places the organism in Eukaryota, Metazoa, Arthropoda, Insecta, Hymenoptera, Formicidae. The record is from RefSeq and is a predicted model, not a curated record.
AAAAAAUUAUUUGCUACAGGAUACUAUCGCGUUAAUUACGAUAGUGAAAACUGGCAAAGAAUUGCAAAAUAUUUAAACUCUAGAGAAUAUAUAAAAGUACAUGUUCUCAAUCGUGCUAAAAUAAUCGACGACGCAUUUCAUUUUAUGACAAUACAACAACUCGAUUCUUCCAUAUUCUGGGAUUUGACGAGUUAUCUUGCACAAGAGACAAAUUAUAUAGCAUGGUAUCCUAUGAUCAAAGCUAUUGAAUACAUGUCGAGAAUCUUUCGAUUUAUAAAUAUAGAUGAAAGAAUCAAUGAUAUCAAGAACAAGUUAAACUACAUGUUAAGAGGUCUUCUCUCGAAAAUAAAAUAC